CGUACAGAGUGCAUAAAGGAAGUCAAUUGAGACGUGCUGCACAGGCGUGGCACCAACAAUGUCCUUGCCAAGAAUACGCCUCAAUUUCACAAAGGCAGGUCAGGAAAUGUGCAGCACGAUCCUGGAGACGCUCACAUGCAACAGAUGAAGGAAAAAAACUUUUUGUGAAUGACAGCAGCUGAUUGACAAAGAGUUGUCUCCUUGUUUGUCACUCAGGACCUUUUCACAGUGUGAGCUGUUUUCUUUGCCAGUGGCAGACCGACAAGUCGUAGCGAAGAGGAAACCUUUGAAAUGCAGGCAUGCAAGCUUGAUUGAGUCCUUGAAUGAUGUCACUGUUGCUGUAUCUUACCUAAAAUGUCUUCAAGCGUUUGAGGGGCAAUAUAUUCUGUGCAUUUGUGCCAAUACCGGUUCAUGUCGCAAUCCUUCAUCUCGACAUGGAUUACACAAUCUUAGAUUGAAAUGCAAAGCGAGUUUUCAGCGCUGCACAUUUGCAAAUGAUGAGAAUGAUGUGACGCAAAAUCCAAGUUGUGCUGUGUUGUGAAAGCCAAUCAGCGCUGAGAUUCUCCUCCUGUCCUCUGAACAUGGUUGAAUUCACUUGUGGUUGCAACAGUUGAUGAGCAAUCAAGACUGAGACACUGAGGAGACGUCCAAAAAAAUGUAAAUGAUGUAUAUGCAAGUGUCAACAAGAUAAUUUUUGCUUUAUUUAUUUGCCUGGCCUGUCUUUAAACUUGGUAAGCUUGUACACCAUCAGACGCUGAACAUGCAUGCGAGCCACUCAUCAAAACAAUCCCGUGAGUUUACCACCCGAUAAACACCACCAGUCGUCUCCAGUCGCUCCGGGGGCAACGAACAAGUCCUGUUUAUUUUGUAUCAGAUCGCAAAAAUGAAAUGUGACAGCCAGGUGUUGUAUCGCCGUAUCAAUUUCC
This is a long non-coding RNA of Gasterosteus aculeatus aculeatus (three-spined stickleback), 926 nucleotides long. The record is from Ensembl. NCBI's taxonomy places the organism in Eukaryota, Metazoa, Chordata, Actinopteri, Perciformes, Gasterosteidae.